GUUGUCUGCAUAAACUUCUUUCAGUGCUGGUUGUUGACUGAUUUAUCUCAUAAAUUUCGGUAUUGUUCCUCAUCAGAGGGGUGUGGUGGUGUGGUGGUACGGACUCUGUCCUGCUCUCUGGUGGGUCUGAGGUUCAAGUCCCACUUGGGGUGCCUUGCGAUGGACUGAUGUCCUGGGUGUGUUGCAGGUUAGGCUCUGGCUCCCCAUGACCCCAUAGGCGAUAAGUGAUUUCAGAUGGUGGGUGUGUGUGUGUGUGUGUGUGUGUGUGUGUGUGUGUGUGUGUGUGUGUGUUUGUGUUCCUCAUCAUGUUCCCAAGUGGAUUUGUGAUGAGCUGGAGCCUAACCUGGCAGCAUAGGGUGCAAGGCUGGAGAGGGAGGGGACACACCCAGGACAGGACACCAGUCCAUUGCAAGGCCCCCAAAGUCGGACUUGAAUUCUGGACCUGCUGGAGAGCAGGCCCUGGCCAAGUUUACUGUGCCACCAUGCCCCCCGAUAUCAAUUAAACUUAUAUUAAAAAACUGUGGGUGGCAUAGUGGCUGUCAUGUUUGCCAGGAUGAUGAGGACCCAAGUGCCGUUGCACGGUGUUAUUCUUUACAGAAUUGGGAGGCAGAAUGCGUUGUCGUAGCGAGGGUCACCGAUGAGCAGAUGUCAAUACCAGGAGAAUCCGAAGCGGUAGUCCAGGAAAUGAAGCCAAUGGUCAGGGAACGAAGAGAACGAGGAGACGGGGGACUGGGUUUAGGGAGGACAGGAAGAGGGCGAGGCAGGAACAGGAACUGGAAUAGGUACGGGAACAAGGAGAAGGGGGAAAACAAGGAUGUAGGAGAAAUCGCAGGUGUGGUUGAGCAGAUGGCUCAAGGAGGUUCCGUGACCUGGUCGAUCAGGCGUCAUCCUUUUAUGCUCCGUUUCCUUGAUCAUCCACAGGUAGCAGAUCCACUUACCAUACAGCAUUCCUGGGCUUGACCUUCAGCCAGAGGUUGAGGGGAUGGAGCCAUGUGGCAAGGUGUGUCACAGGGCAUGUUCUCUGACACCAGGUGCCUGCACUUCUCACACUUAGGAUGGAGGCUCCACGUAAAUCUUUCAGCCUGUCAGAUGCUUCAUCAAAGAGGAAUUCCAGCAGAAGCAAUAAAUCAAAGUGAGCAGCAGAACCUGCCGGCA
This 1155-nucleotide long non-coding RNA is filed under the name Scleropages formosus (Asian bonytongue). Its description in RNAcentral is "lncRNA (ENSSFOG00015029347.1)". The record is from RNAcentral. Lineage: Eukaryota; Metazoa; Chordata; Actinopteri; Osteoglossiformes; Osteoglossidae.